RNAcentral lists this ribosomal RNA (253 nucleotides) under uncultured bacterium. Its description in RNAcentral is "partial 16S ribosomal RNA". It matches the Rfam family "Bacterial small subunit ribosomal RNA", at positions 524 to 776 of the family's 1533-position model. The record is from RNAcentral.
GACAGAGGGUGCAAACGUUGUUCGGAUUUACUGGGCGUAAAGCGCGUGUAGGCGGCUUUGCAAGUCGGAUGUGAAAGCCCACGGCUCAACCGUGGAAGUGCAUCCGAAACUGCAUGGCUUGAGUCUCGGAGAGGAAGGUGGAAUGCUUGGUGUAGAGGUGAAAUUUGUAGAUAUCAAGCAGAACACCUGCGGCGAAGGCGGCCUUCUGGACGAUGACUGACGCUGAGACGCGAAAGCGUGGGGAGCAAACAGG